AUUGAACGCUGGCGGCAGGCCUAACACAUGCAAGUCGAGCGGAUGAAGGGAGCUUGCUCCUGGAUUCAGCGGCGGACGGGUGAGUAAUGCCUAGGAAUCUGCCUGGUAUUGGGGGAUAACGUCCGGAAACGGGCGCUAAUGCCGCAUACGUCCUGAGGGAGAAAGUGGGGGAUCUUCGGACCUCACGCUAUCAGAUGAGCCUAGGUCGGAUUAGCUAGUUGGUGGGGUAAAGGCCUACCAAGGCGACGAUCCGUAACUGGUCUGAGAGGAUGAUCAGUCACACUGGAACUGAGACACGGUCCAGACUCCUACGGGAGGCAGCAGUGGGGAAUAUUGGACAAUGGGCGAAAGCCUGAUCCAGCCAUGCCGCGUGUGUGAAGAAGGUCUUCGGAUUGUAAAGCACUUUAAGUUGGGAGGAAGGGCAGUAAGUUAAUACCUUGCUGUUUUGACGUUACCAACAGAAUAAGCACCGGCUAACUUCGUG
RNAcentral lists this ribosomal RNA (484 nucleotides) under uncultured bacterium. Its description in RNAcentral is "partial 16S ribosomal RNA". It matches the Rfam family "Bacterial small subunit ribosomal RNA", at positions 30 to 507 of the family's 1533-position model. The record is from RNAcentral.